Molecule: transfer RNA, 83 nt
Filed under: Alkalinema pantanalense CENA528
Lineage: Bacteria; Bacillati; Cyanobacteriota; Cyanophyceae; Leptolyngbyales; Leptolyngbyaceae
Also listed under: 3 other names
Description: tRNA-Leu
Rfam family: tRNA
About the family: Transfer RNA (tRNA) molecules are approximately 80 nucleotides in length. Their secondary structure includes four short double-helical elements and three loops (D, anti-codon, and T loops).
Source: RNAcentral
GGGCGAGUGGCGAAAUGGUAGACGCAGCAGACUCAAAAUCUGCCGCCCGCAAAGGCAUGAGAGUUCGAGUCUCUCCUCGCCCA